Molecule: microRNA precursor, 77 nt
Filed under: Myotis davidii
Lineage: Eukaryota; Metazoa; Chordata; Mammalia; Chiroptera; Vespertilionidae
Description: mir-9229 microRNA precursor family
Rfam family: mir-9229 microRNA precursor family
Source: Rfam by way of RNAcentral
GAGACACCCUUCUGGGGCAGGACUUGCUUCAGUGGGGCUUUGACACUCACUGAGUCUGCCCCCUGAGUUGUGUCUCU